This 875-nucleotide ribosomal RNA is filed under the name uncultured bacterium. RNAcentral describes it as "bacterial SSU rRNA". It matches the Rfam family "Bacterial small subunit ribosomal RNA", at positions 8 to 837 of the family's 1533-position model. The record is from RNAcentral.
AGAGUUUGAUCCUGGCUCAGGAUGAACGCUGGCGGCGUGCCUAAUACAUGCAAGUCGAACGCUUUGUGGUUCAACUGAUUUGAAGAGCUUGCUCAGAUAUGACGAUGGACAUUGUAAAGAGUGGCGAACGGGUGAGUAACACGUGGGAAACCUACCUCUUAGCAGGGGAUAACAUUUGGAAACAGAUGCUAAUACCGUAUAACAAUAGCAACCGCAUGGUUGCUACUUAAAAGAUGGUUCUGCUAUCACUAAGAGAUGGUCCCGCGGUGCAUUAGUUAGUUGGUGAGGUAAUGGCUCACCAAGACGAUGAUGCAUAGCCGAGUUGAGAGACUGAUCGGCCACAAUGGGACUGAGACACGGCCCAUACUCCUACGGGAGGCAGCAGUAGGGAAUCUUCCACAAUGGGCGAAAGCCUGAUGGAGCAACGCCGCGUGUGUGAUGAAGGGUUUCGGCUCGUAAAACACUGUUGUAAGAGAAGAAUGACAUUGAGAGUAACUGUUCAAUGUGUGACGGUAUCUUACCAGAAAGGAACGGCUAAAUACGUGCCAGCAGCCGCGGUAAUACGUAUGUUCCAAGCGUUAUCCGGAUUUAUUGGGCGUAAAGCGAGCGCAGACGGUUAUUUAAGUCUGAAGUGAAAGCCCUCAGCUCAACUGAGGAAUUGCUUCGGAAACUGGAUGACUUGAGUGCAGUAGAGGAAAGUGGAACUCCAUGUGUAGCGGUGAAAUGCGUAGAUAUAUGGAAGAACACCAGUGGCGAAGGCGGCUUUCUGGACUGUAACUGACGUUGAGGCUCGAAAGUGUGGGUAGCAAACAGGAUUAGAUACCCUGGUAGUCCACACCGUAAACGAUGAGUGCUAGGUGUUUGAGGGUUUCCGC